RNAcentral lists this ribosomal RNA (448 nucleotides) under uncultured Planctomycetota bacterium. RNAcentral's name for it is "bacterial SSU rRNA". It matches the Rfam family "Bacterial small subunit ribosomal RNA", at positions 217 to 656 of the family's 1533-position model. The record is from RNAcentral. Lineage: Bacteria; Pseudomonadati; Planctomycetota.
GCUUAGAGAGGGGUCAAUGUCCUAUCAGCUAGUUGGUAGGGUAAUGGCCUACCAAGGCUAAGACGGGUAGCCGGCCUGAGAGGGUGGUCGGCCACACUGGGACUGAGACACUGCCCAGACUCCUACGGGAGGCUGCAGUCGAGAAUCUUUCGCAAUGCCCGAAAGGGUGACGAAGCGGCGCCGCGUGUGGGAAGAAGGCCUUCGGGUUGUAAACCACUGUCGGGAGUUAAGAAAUGCAAGGGUGUUAAUAGCAUCCUUGCUUGACUAAGGCUCCGGAGGAAGCCACGGCUAACUCUGUGCCAGCAGCCGCGGUAAUACAGAGGCGGCAAGCGUUGUUCGGAAUUAUUGGGCGUAAAGAGCACGUAGGCGGCUUUGUAAGUCAGUUGUGAAAGCCUUCUGCUCAACGGAAGAACAGCAUCUGAUACUGCAAGGCUAGAGUGCGGAAGGG